RNAcentral lists this unclassified non-coding RNA (160 nucleotides) under uncultured fungus. Its description in RNAcentral is "sequence contains ITS1, 5.8S rRNA gene". The record is from RNAcentral. Lineage: Eukaryota; Fungi.
CCGAGUACCGGGUCUUCGGGCCCUUACUCCCACCCUUUGUGUACCUACCAAUGUUUCGUUGCCUUGGCGGGGUCGAUCCCUGUAUCUACAGGGGGACUCGCCAGGGGAACACCACUAAACUCUCAUCAACGGUACUGUCUGAGAACAAACAAAUAAGUUA